ACGGAAGGCAGCAGUGGGGAAUAUUGGGCAAUGGGCGAAAGCCUGACCCAGCAACGCCGCGUGAGGGAAGAAGGGUUUCGGCUCGUAAACCUCUGUCCUAUGGGACGAAGCAAUGACGGUACCAUAGGAGGAAGCUCCGGCUAACUACGUGCCAGCAGCCGCGGUAAUACGUAGGGAGCAAGCGUUAUCCGGAAUUACUGGGUGUAAAGGGAGUGUAGGCGGGACUGUAAGUCAGAUGUGAAAUAUGCCGGCUCAACUGGCAGACUGCAUUUGAAACUGCGGUUCUUGAGUGAAGUAGAGGUAAGCGGAAUUCCUAGUGUAGCGGUGAAAUGCGUAGAUAUUAGGAGGAACAUCAGUGGCGAAGGCGGCUUACUGGGCUUUAACUGACGCUGAGGCUCGAAAGCGUGGGGAGCAAACAGGAUUAGAUACCCUGGUA
RNAcentral lists this ribosomal RNA (436 nucleotides) under uncultured Ruminococcus sp. RNAcentral's name for it is "partial 16S ribosomal RNA". It matches the Rfam family "Bacterial small subunit ribosomal RNA", at positions 341 to 792 of the family's 1533-position model. The record is from RNAcentral. Lineage: Bacteria; Bacillati; Bacillota; Clostridia; Eubacteriales; Oscillospiraceae.